Bombus terrestris (buff-tailed bumblebee) is the source of this 1177-nucleotide long non-coding RNA. RefSeq lists it as uncharacterized. NCBI's taxonomy places the organism in Eukaryota, Metazoa, Arthropoda, Insecta, Hymenoptera, Apidae. The record is from RefSeq and is a predicted model, not a curated record. The transcript has 2 exons.
CUCGGUCGCGAUAAGGACCCGUGUGCCAGCGCUGUUGCCAGUGCCUCGAGCACAGGCCUAGAGAGACUAUUUCAAUGAGAGAGAAAGACCGUGUAUCCUUUGUGUAUGCGCGUGCACUCGGUGUAUGCACGGGCCAGCUUCGUUUUUAUUGAUUCAAACCGAAUAACCUAGCGGAGAUGGUUAGCUUGAUUCUUCUGAUUUCGUUCUCAUGGAACAUCGACCAAAAGAAAUCUAAAAAGCCUUCUUCUUUUCACGAAUGUGGGAUGAUAUUGGAAACAGGACGAAACUUUGUGACCAAUGGAAAUAUCUCUAAGGUGUCACGAUAAUAGAAGGAUGAUACAAGAUGAACGAAGAAAAAUAUGACGCAAUAGUACUGGAAAAUAAAGCACUGACGAUACAGUGGCCGAGAAACCAAGUGACCCAAUGAUACACGAACCAAGUUAACGGCGUUUAUCCGGAUCACAAUUCCACACAUGUUUUCUGUCUUUCGUGGGAACUCUUCUUCUAUGAAUUCUUCGUAGAGCGAAAAAUAAGCAACAUUUAAAAGAAAAGAAAUCCCAUGAGAUUCGACUUCUGUUGAGAAAUAAUUUCAUACAGCUUAGACCCUAAAGCUUACUCUUCCAUUCGUAAUUGACAAUGGUAGUGAUUAAUAAUCCAUUUAUUUCAUAGAAACUAUGUUUUAUGAUCUUUUGAGACCAUAAUUACUUUCUGCAUUAUAAAAAGCAGGAAUUGAAUUUACAUUGACAUAACAAGUUGGUCUAUAGUAAUUUAGGUAGUUCUAUUAGGUUUUUAUCGCUAAAAAUAUGCAAUUGACUUACCAAUAGGCCGGUUUCCACGCUCGGCAGCAGCGUAAGCCGACUGCCAUCUUGUAAACGAUUUUCCUCUAGCGUUCCCUCACGCAAUUGUCUGAAACACACAAAUUUCCAGUUAAAUUUGUCAUUGAAACUUUACGCUAAUGAAAUCAGUUCCAAAAUUGUUAUACAUUAAGGGUAACAUAUGAAUAUUACAAAAUAGUUUUAUACAGAAAAUUAAAAUUCAAUAUUUUAGCUCAUUAGAAAAGAAAAAACAUUUAAUAAAUCUAACUGUAGUGUUCAUAAAUUGACAUUUAUAUCUUAUAGUAUAUAUUAUAUUUAGUUAUUAUAAAGAAGAAUGAUUAAUAAAAUAUUAAUUAUUUUUA